CAGCAGCCGCGGUAAGACAGAGGAUGCAAGCGUUAUCCGGAAUGAUUGGGCGUAAAGAGCUCGUAGGCGGUUUGUCGCGCCUGCUGUGAAAACUGGAGGCUCAACCUCCAGCCUGCAGUGGGUACGGGCAGACUAGAGUGCGGUAGGGGAGAUUGGAAUUCCUGGUGUAGCGGUGGAAUGCGCAGAUAUCAGGAGGAACACCGGUGGCGAAGGCAGAUCUCUGGGCCGUAACUGACGCUGAGGAGCGAAAGCGUGGGGAGCGAACAGGAUUAGAUACCCCGGUAGUCCCUGUCUCUUAUAU
This 301-nucleotide ribosomal RNA is filed under the name uncultured bacterium. RNAcentral's name for it is "partial 16S ribosomal RNA". It matches the Rfam family "Bacterial small subunit ribosomal RNA", at positions 509 to 809 of the family's 1533-position model. The record is from RNAcentral.